UUCUGUGUUUGUGUCUUCAAAACAGCUGCUAUCACCAAUAAUUAAACCAUAAAAAACCGAAAUUAUUUUUCCCUCUGGGGUGAUUACAACCACACGGGAGCUGUGAUGAGAGUCACAGGGGUUCCAUCUCCAAAGUGACCUUAAGAUCUGAGGUGACCACUGCAACUCCAAGCCAUCCUGAAAGCUAUUCUUGUGACCAAAUCAACAGCUCUUUCCAAGAAAAAAAGAUCUUAUUGACGUGAAGUCUUGACACUGCCUCCUGGGAGCAUCGUCCUGUAAUCAAGGGCAGAAAACCCUGUGUGUGUACAUGUGUGUAAAUGCAUGUGUGUGCCCAUAGGGCCACCAUUAGGCUAAAAGGCCCUUAUGACAUCCAUGUGAGAAUUAUUUCCUCCUCCCUCCAGGCAGAUGCAGCCCCAUGCUAACUUGUGGAACAGGUUUGGUUUCAGGCCACACUUACUCUUUUGACCAAAGUUACAACUGUUCACAACACCUGUGUGUGUGUGUGUGGGUGGGGGGGGCGGGGGGUGUCCAUAUGCGAAGAUUUCAAAAACAUAUCAGAAAUUACUCCCAAGAGGUAUCCCUUUUUAUCUGGAGGGCAUAACAUCGUUCUAGAUUUAUACAGGGAGGUGGAUAU
Molecule: small RNA, 634 nt
Filed under: Pan troglodytes (chimpanzee)
Lineage: Eukaryota; Metazoa; Chordata; Mammalia; Primates; Hominidae
Description: sense intronic
Source: RNAcentral